This 631-nucleotide long non-coding RNA is filed under the name Ursus maritimus (polar bear). RNAcentral describes it as "lncRNA (ENSUMAG00000024484.1)". Lineage: Eukaryota; Metazoa; Chordata; Mammalia; Carnivora; Ursidae. The record is from RNAcentral.
GAGCGACGUCCCCGAUCUCGUUCUCUUUGGAAGCCCAGGCGAGCGCUGAGCUUGUGGCCGGCUCUGGGUUCUUCUUUGAAGCGUAUCUGGAGGAGGGCCCCUGAUUCCAGAUGUCUGUGUCCGCAAGACUCUGUGAACAGCUUCUCAGCUUGCCAGCACCCUCGGCAGCCCCAGGACUGGCCGGCCCAGCCACUGCCAUGAGGGUGAAAAGGCACGUGGUCCAGGCUGCGGAGGGCGCCCCCUUGACUGAUGGCAGGUAUCCCUAUAUCCAGCCCCUCCACCCAACCAGGCUUCUGUGGCCCGAAGAAAGUCGGUUACCAAAGGACAUCCUGGGGCCUGGAACUCUGGGAUGUCCCCCAUGACUUCAUUACACGAACAUUCACUAAAGGCUGAAAACCUUCCACUUAAUGACAUCAAAGAGAUCCAGAACCAUAGAUAAAGCCAUUUCACACAUUGGUCAACCCCCACGUUUCAUCGUUUCAUCGUUUCAUCGUUGUGCCUUGGAAAGAAAUACCGGCUUCUUUGUCAUGGGAUGUUAACUCUUUUAUUAACUUAGGGUUAACAUUGUAUUUGCUUUGUGGAUUUCUCUUUUGAAGUUGUGGAUUCAAUAAACAACAGCUGGCUUCCCCCA